CGCCGGUGCGAGACGGGAGUGACCACGAGCCAAACCAGUUUUUCGCGGUAAAAAAUGCCCCGAAAACGGAAGCAUGUUACGGAGAGAACCUCAAAAAGCAUGUUUGCCUAUCAACAGGCUUAUGAGGAAGUGAUCUCUGGAAAGUCCUUAAGAAAAGCGGCCCAAAUGUUUGAUUUGGAUCAUGUCUCUUUGGCGAGAUACAAAAAAAAAAGAGAAGCUGCGCCAGAUACGACACCUAUAGAAGAUAUAAAAAUGGGUUACAAUUCUGUAAAAAAAGUGUUUUCAACUGCUCAAGAAGAGGAGAUUGCUGAAUAUGCAAUAAAGUCAGCCGAUAUUUACUUCGGACUGUCUACCAAAGACUUGAGGAAAUGUAGAGAGAGAGAGAGACGCAAAGCUUGUUACAGAAUGCAAUCAAAACAUUUCAUUUUGUAGCAUGUCUUGUCACCCACUCUCUCUAUGCUUUUAAAUUGUAUAUUUUUUUAAAUUUUGGUUAAUGGUUAUUAAUAAUAUAAACUUUGUUUUAUAUUACAUAAAAUACAUAAUUUGUUAUUUUAAUUUGACAUAUCGCCAUAUGGUAAUAUUUUUGUUUAUGUGUAGAGAGAGACACAAAACUUGUUACAGAAUGUUUUAUAAUAAUAUGUUGAUUAGAUAUGUUUGAUACCUAUAUAAUAAUAAUACAUUUUAGCAACAACCGACUGCUGCCAACCGGCUGAUUAAACAGGUCGGCCACUGCUAAAAUUUAUAUCAGAGAGAGUUAAGGAUUUUUUUUUGAUAGGCAUAUCGCCAUGUUUUUGUUUACGUAAUAAAACAAUUUAUACUGA
Molecule: long non-coding RNA, 821 nt
Organism: Cydia pomonella (codling moth)
Lineage: Eukaryota; Metazoa; Arthropoda; Insecta; Lepidoptera; Tortricidae
Exons: 2
Source: RefSeq, a predicted model, not a curated record